GAAGACGGCCAUAGGCUAGGGGAAACGCCUGGUCCCAUUCCGAACCCAGAAGCUAAGCCCUAGCCGUUGUAGACUGUACUGCCGAAAGGCGGGAACUCUACAAGCCGUCUUCU
RNAcentral lists this ribosomal RNA (113 nucleotides) under Candidatus Parcubacteria bacterium. The record is from RNAcentral. Lineage: Bacteria; Candidatus Parcubacteria.